GAAGGUGGCCUGUGAGGGUUGCUGGAGGUAUCAGAAGUGCGAAUGCUGACAUAAGUAACGAUAAAGCGGGUGAAAAGCCCGCUCGCCGGAAGACCAAGGGUUCCUGUCCAACGUUAAUCGGGGCAGGGUGAGUCGACCCCUAAGGCGAGGCCGAAAGGCGUAGUCGAUGGGAAACAGGUUAAUAUUCCUGUACUUGGUGUUACUGCGAAGGGGGGACGGAGAAGGCUAUGUUGGCCGGGCGACGGUUGUCCCGGUUUAAGCGUGUAGGUGUGUGUUCCAGGUAAAUCCGGAACAUCAAGCUGAGGCGUGAUGACGAGGCACUACGGUGCUGAAGCAACAAAUGCCCUGCUUCCAGGAAAAGCCUCUAAGCAUCAGGUAACACGAAAUCGUACCCCAAACCGACACAGGUGGUCAGGUAGAGAAUACCAAGGCGCUUGAGAGAACUCGGGUGAAGGAACUAGGCAAAAUGGUGCCGUAACUUCGGGAGAAGGCACGCUGACACGUAGGUGAAGUGAUUUACUCAUGGAGCUGAAGUCAGUCGAAGAUACCAGCUGGCUGCAACUGUUUAUUAAAAACACAGCACUGUGCAAACACGAAAGUGGACGUAUACGGUGUGACGCCUGCCCGGUGCCGGAAGGUUAAUUGAUGGGGUCAGCGCAAGCGAAGCUCCUGAUCGAAGCCCCGGUAAACGGCGGCCGUAACUAUAACGGUCCUAAGGUAGCGAAAUUCCUUGUCGGGUAAGUUCCGACCUGCACGAAUGGCGUAAUGAUGGCCAGGCUGUCUCCACCCGAGACUCAGUGAAAUUGAACUCGCUGUGAAGAUGCAGUGUACCCGCGGCAAGACGGAAAGACCCCGUGAACCUUUACUAUAGCUUGACACUGAACAUUGAGCCUUGAUGUGUAGGAUAGGUGGGAGGCUUUGAAGUGUGGACGCCAGUCUGCAUGGAGCCGACCUUGAAAUACCACCCUUUAAUGUUUGAUGUUCUAACGUGGACCCGUGAUCCGGGUUGCGGACAGUGUCUGGUGGGUAGUUUGACUGGGGCGGUCUCCUCCUAAAGAGUAACGGAGGAGCACGAAGGUUGGCUAAUCCUGGUCGGAC
RNAcentral lists this ribosomal RNA (1098 nucleotides) under Salmonella enterica subsp. enterica serovar Anatum. Its description in RNAcentral is "partial 23S ribosomal RNA". It matches the Rfam family "Bacterial large subunit ribosomal RNA", at positions 1252 to 2336 of the family's 2925-position model. The record is from RNAcentral. Lineage: Bacteria; Pseudomonadati; Pseudomonadota; Gammaproteobacteria; Enterobacterales; Enterobacteriaceae.